RNAcentral lists this ribosomal RNA (465 nucleotides) under uncultured bacterium. Its description in RNAcentral is "partial 16S ribosomal RNA". It matches the Rfam family "Bacterial small subunit ribosomal RNA", at positions 28 to 507 of the family's 1533-position model. The record is from RNAcentral.
GACGAACGCUGGCGGCGUGCUUAACACAUGCAAGUCGAACGGAAAGGCCCUGCUUGCAGGGUACUCGAGUGGCGAACGGGUGAGUAACACGUGGGUGAUCUGCCCUGCACUUCGGGAUAAGCCUGGGAAACUGGGUCUAAUACCGGAUAGGAGCCAUUUUUAGUGUGAUGGUUGGAAAGUUUUUUCGGUGUAGGAUGAGCUCGCGGCCUAUCAGCUUGUUGGUGGGGUAAUGGCCUACCAAGGCGGCGACGGGUAGCCGGCCUGAGAGGGUGGACGGCCACAUUGGGACUGAGAUACGGCCCAGACUCCUACGGGAGGCAGCAGUGGGGAAUAUUGCACAAUGGGCGCAAGCCUGAUGCAGCGACGCCGCGUGGGGGAGGACGGCCUUCGGGCUGGAAACUCCUUUCGCUAGGGACGAAGCUUUUUGUGACGGUACCUAGAUAAGAAGCACCGGCUAACUACGUG